CAGUGGGGCAAGGAAUCUGUUGACUUUCUGACAUUGGCUGUGAAUCAGAUCAACCAUCAUGAUCCUUAUCAGUUCCAGCGGCUACGUUCUGACGGAUCUCCGAAGUCCACCCGUGAAAUUUAUCCGACUGGACAUCCAAACCACUGUCGAGAAGUCAAUUCCCAGUCGGUGACUCAGGGCAUGAUCUUAAUCUGCAUCCUCUCAAACGGAAGAAGGGCUCAAAAACACGCUUAAAGAUACACCUCGACGAUGACGUUGACUCAGAGCCCAAAAUCCAAUGCGACGAGAGACUGGCGUACCGGAUGCAAAACCUGAUACAGCGAAGCUAAUCGGGUUUGACUUCCAUGGAGUUUGCAGCCAACGACGUUUCUUGAGAUGUCGGCACAAGGUUGACGUGUUAGAAUCGUCAACGCCACCGUAGCGAGCGCCGAUUGGUUGUCCCUGUUCCGGUGGACUGCAGAAGAAUCCAGAUGCUCAGAUUCGUGAUCAUUGCAAGCAGACAAGUAGUCAACGUAAAGAUCUAAAUCGUGACGAAUGAUAAUGGCCGGCAGGCAUCCGUAAAGACGAGUAAACUCAUCUCGCGCGGUUGGUCAUCACGCGGCGCAUAGUCGAUACGCGUGGAUCAAGUUACAACACGAAUCUUAUAACAUGACAGUCCACGCCCCUCUCGGUAUCACCCGGCCGAUGCCACGCGAUCCAACGUCGCUCGAUUCAUUUCCUCCUCGACUCUUCCCAAUCUAAUCUUUUUAUGUUACGAUUGUUCAUUUACCAAGAACCCUAAUUAUUCCUCGAUCCCUUUGUGGGAAUUCGCCCCUUCUCGUUCAACUCCUAUGAUGCGAUCUCUUCUCGCAGCAUUGCGUCGGUCCGUCCCCACUCUCGUCUACAUGGCGCCACUCAGAACGCGACCGGCCCGAGCGACGAGGAGAUCGCCGUCGCCGUCGACGGAGAUGACUCGCCCACGGCCAAGAAGCCACUUAGGGCUGAGUCGAGGAUUCCCCUGUUCGUGAUCUUCUCGGUCGGCCUGCUGUGCAUCUUCCUCACCAUGCCCGAGGCCGAGCACGAUACGAUCCUAAGGCUAACGCGGCACCUCUCCGUCCUCAACCCGAAGCAAAAAGGACCUUCAUUUAUGAUUUUUCCUGCUGGACACGUAUGUUCAAUUGUAAUUAUAUCAAAUGCACUCCGGAAGGCCUUCUAUUGAUGUAAGUAGAUGUUCAUGAUACCUGGUACCGCAUUCUUGUUAUUACUGGCUGGAUCUCUUUCGGGGUCAUAAAAGGUGUUAUUCUGGUAGUUCUCUGUGCAACUUAUGGUGCUUCAUCCUGGUACUUCUUUGUGCAUAUACUUGUUUCUGUAUGUAUGAAACGGAAGUAACAUAAUUUAGCUUGAAUUUCUUAUUAGCAUGAUUGCGAAAUCUUCAUUAUCAAAAUUUUUCCCUUGUCAUUUUUCCACAAAUGUACAAAAUGCAUUUAAGAUGAGAAAAUUUGCAGCAUCCACUAAAAUCCUUGCAAGUCCAUAUGCCUUUUCUGGAUAAUCUUGUUGCACCUGACUAUUUAAUUGAACAAGGCUCUGGUGAGUUAUUGAAUAACAUCUUAUUCUUUAUUUGACUUUUCUGGUUUGUUUCUCGUUUUCUUUAGAUCAAUUUGACUUGAUGGUUAGACAACUUUACAUGCUCUUGACAAUAAGAUGUUUCUAUACUCACUCAUGUACCUUCAGGGUGGCCUUGCUCGUUAGGGAUCUGUAUGACUUGGAGACAUAGGUAAUUCUGUUCCUUAUCGGAUUUGUUUCCAUAUUUUUCGCACAAUUCUAAAUCCCAAUUUGCUUGGAUAUUUUGAUUCUGUUCUUGGCUUUAUAACUUCAAUAUAAGUU
RNA transcript from Musa acuminata subsp. malaccensis (wild Malaysian banana), 1863 nucleotides. RefSeq lists it as uncharacterized. NCBI's taxonomy places the organism in Eukaryota, Viridiplantae, Streptophyta, Magnoliopsida, Zingiberales, Musaceae. The record is from RefSeq and is a predicted model, not a curated record.